GGACGAGUUGGUUGAAUAGUCCCCCACUUUCGUCUGGGUUUUUUUCGACUGGUUUUUUUUCGUCCCACCUUCGUCUGGUUUUUUUUCGUCGUUUUUUUUUCGUCUGGUUUUUCUUUCGUAUCUCACCCCGCACGUAAAACUAACCUCAAUCUCGAUCUGUUUCAUCUCAGCCUCCAGCCCCGAGAGGAGCCGCCGCCGCCGCCGAGAGGAGACGCCCCAGCCCCGAGAGGAGCCACCGCCGCCGAGAGGAGACGCCCCAACCCCGAGAGGAUCCGCCGCGCCGCCGGGGAACGAGGUCGCCGCCGCCUCCCUCGCCCGUGGCCAUGAUGACCGAUCUGGCGUGGGCGCCGCAGAUCACCCUCUGGUCCAUGGCCUCGACCAGUUUGCUAUGAUCUGGUGACGGGAUGCAAGGAGAAGCUGCUGCGGUUUCAAGGGGCCGUGAGGAUGCCCACCAUGAAGGCGUGUCUGGGAUGAUGGAGGUGAUAUCCAGGCCCUGGUGAUAUCGGCCAGGUCCCCGAUGCCGUCGACUGGCGGCGGCCACCGUGUCCUCUUCCAUGGCGUCGGCGGGGCCUUCCCCUGCCAAGCGCAGCGGCUCCUUGGCUGGAUCACCGUCGCACACCUCGCCGGCGUGGUCGGCAAGAUCUGCAUCUCGAUCCUCGCCACUCUCCAUCCUCUUGCAGGUUUAUAAAUUUCGAAAUAUAGUUGCAGCUUCACGGAAUGGACGGCCCAAAUUAUGUUAGUGUCUAUAUGUUUACUUGGUGGUGGUCUAGCGUGAGUGACACCUGCAUCUGUAACUUACCCAUUGGAUGUUGUUCGAAAUCACCUGACAACACAGAAAACCACUAGGUAUUACAAGGGCAUCUUUCACACGUUGUCUACAAUUUGUAGAGAAGAGAGUGGUAGAGGAUUGUAUAAAGGCCUUUGGUCCACCUUAUUGGGACUUGGACCUGAUAUAUCAAUCAACGUUUAUGUAUAUGAAUCCCUGAGGUCUCAUUGGCAAAUGGAAAGUUGAAUGUCAAACUGUGCGACCAAUGAUUUGCUAUGGUACCUCCCUCUUCUCUCUUCUAUGAACCCUAUAACACACGUCUCAAAUCUUAAUUUCUUUUAUCCUAUUGCAGGUUAAUUCCAGUUGGCUGUGUUAACCUACAGUAAUCAAUCAAGUCAACAAAUAUAACAAUGAUACUUUGUCUUCUGAUUUUUGGUGGUGAUUUUUUUUGUGACUGAACUAACAGGAGCUGAAGCAUGUGUUCUUAUUUUUUUAUAUGACUAGAUGCAUAU
Non-coding RNA from Aegilops tauschii subsp. strangulata, 1278 nucleotides. The record is from RefSeq and is a predicted model, not a curated record. NCBI's taxonomy places the organism in Eukaryota, Viridiplantae, Streptophyta, Magnoliopsida, Poales, Poaceae.